AGAGUUUGAUCCUGGCUCAGGACGAACGCUGGCGGCGUGCUUAACGCAUGCAAGUCGAACGAGGUCCAUCCAGCUUGCUGGUGAAGACCUAGUGGCGAACGGGUGAGUAACACGUGAGGAACCCACCCCGGAGACCGGGAUAACCCUCCGAAAGGAGAGCUAAUACCGGAUGCCGUCGGAGGAUCGCAUGGUCUUCCGACGAAAUGGAUUCCGCUCCGGGACGGCCUCGCGGCCUAUCAGCUUGUUGGUGGGGUAACGGCCUACCAAGGCGUCGACGGGUAGCUGGUCUGAGAGGACGGUCAGCCACACUGGGACUGAGACACGGCCCAGACUCCUACGGGAGGCAGCAGCGGGGAAUAUUGCGCAAUGGGCGAAAGCCUGACGCAGCAACGCCGCGUGAGGGAUGAAGGCUUUCGGGUUGUAAACCUCUUUCAGCAGGGACGAUUGUGACGGUACCUGCAGAAGAAGCCCCGGCCAACUACGUGCCAGCAGCCGCGGUAACACGUAGGGGGCGAGCGUUGUCCGGAUUUAUUGGGCGUAAAGAGCUCGUAGGCGGUUCGGUAAGUCGGGUGUGAAAACUCUGGGCUCAACUCAGAGACGCCACCCGAUACUGCUGUGACUUGAGUCCGGUAGGGGAGUAUGGAAUUCCCGGUGUAGCGGUGAAAUGCGCAGAUAUCGGGAGGAACACCAGUGGCGAAGGCGGUACUCUGGGCCGGAACUGACGCUGAGGAGCGAAAGCGUGGGUAGCGAACAGGAUUAGAUACCCUGGUAGUCCACGCCGUAAACGUUGGGCACUAGGUGUGGGUCUCAACCAACGGGAUCCGUGCCGCAGCUAACGCAUUAAGUGCCCCGCCUGGGGAGUACGGCCGCAAGGCUAAAACUCAAAGGAAUUGACGG
RNAcentral lists this ribosomal RNA (897 nucleotides) under uncultured bacterium. RNAcentral's name for it is "bacterial SSU rRNA". It matches the Rfam family "Bacterial small subunit ribosomal RNA", at positions 8 to 916 of the family's 1533-position model. The record is from RNAcentral.